Molecule: non-coding RNA, 778 nt
Organism: Danio rerio (zebrafish)
Lineage: Eukaryota; Metazoa; Chordata; Actinopteri; Cypriniformes; Danionidae
Source: RefSeq, a predicted model, not a curated record
AGCUGCUGCGGCACUGGGAGAACACUGCUGAGCUGUGCAGUUUGUACUGCCAGUGAGCGCGCAGAGAGGAGGAGGGGGAGCAAGAGAUAGAAAAAGAGAGAGAGAGAGAGAGUGCAGGAGAAUGAAGCAGGGAGAGAGAGCGAACAAUGUCAUUCCAUUCAGCAGGCAAUGCUGCAGUCAACUUUACAGCACCGGAGGAGAAGACACAGCCGCUUGUGCAUCAUCCCUGCAAGACCCAGAGAGGAGCGGAAGCUGAAAGCUGAAGCAGAGGGCGCUGUGCAGAGCAACCAGAACAUGCCUUGACUUGUACCCACUUCUCAGAAAGAAGUUGAGGCUUGUGGUCAGCAACAUUAACUGUGUUUGCCAUCUCAUCCAACUGACCAGUGAAAGACUGGAUAUUAGGAAACUGGAUAUUGGGACAGACUGAAGUGACAAAUAACUAUCACCCAAGUCUCUGCACUGGACCGGAAGUUUCCUGACCUCACCACUACUGAUUGGACUUCUGAUGUCGUCACCACCAGGAGAAUGAAGGAACAUAUCCAGAUGUCCUGCGGACGAUGAGAGACAAUGUGUCAGCAGUAAGGUGAGUGUCUGAUCCUGGUUAUUCAAUAUUUUUAACUUUCCUUGUUUCUAUACGUCAGUCUUUCUUAAAUUCAUUCUGGUAUGAACGGUAGCUGCAUUCUGAGCGCUUGGACAUAAUGAGAUUUAUCUAUGACAUAUGAUGGCAAAAAUGCUGAAAAUGCGGACUUAUUUUUAGAAAUGCUAAAGAAGGACAUUU